CAUGCUAUUGCUUACCCUUGCAGCUUUCCGUUGUUCCCAAGAGUUUCUUUAAUCCAGACUUUUCUUUAAAUGAGAGGAUGUUUCACUUUGAUUUUGGUUUUUUUACAUCUUCCAGACCCCAAGAGAACUGAGCUAAAAAUACACACGUGGCGUCAGGUAUCCACGUAUAGUUUUUACGCCCCUGAACAGCAAGCAGUAUGACAGUGACUGAAGAUGGAAAGAGAAAUCUUGUACAUAUAUUUCCAUUUAACAGAAGAAGUACACCAUAUUUUGCUUAUUCUGAAGCUUACCUGAAUUCAUCCAAAACCCCUAUAAGCCUGAAGACUUUGGGGGUUUUUUGUGAAAUUCUGACUGUACUGGGGGGGUUGUUGAGUAAGAUGUACUCCAAAAACUCUUUUUCUCUCAUUUUUUCCACUCACUUCAGAAAACCACAAUCAUGUAAAAAUCUGCAGGAAGCGUGAGGUGAAUCUCCGGUCUGUGAAGCCCAGAAUCAGAUUGCUUCAAGUGCUGGGCAGGGGCUCGGGUGGCACCAGCACCGCGCUGGCAUUCUCCUUUACCACUCGUGACGCACAAUAAACAUAACUAGGAACGUGAGUUAUUUGGGGAUCUCGUCAGGAAAGGCUCGAGUACGGGGCGCCCUGCCCACUGCUGCUCGUAUGCAAAUAAAACAGCGGUUCGGAAYCAGUGCUAAUAUCAGAUCAAUCUUGAGCUUCAGCAACCCAGAAUUCUGGCACAACAAUUGGACAAGAAAUGUCACUACAGGAAAAGACCCUUCCCAAGGAAGUUCUGGUGAAGGCAGCGAGUCUGAAGGUUUCUCGGCUCUACAGAAGAGGGACAACAUAAAUCUUGUAUCUCCCAGAAUAUUAUCCAUUUACAAGCUGAAGUUGAAGGGAGGAGAAAAGAGCAGAACGGACAGAAUGGUGGAGGAGCAAACGUACCCUGCUGCAAACAGCUCCUGGCGGGUCCCCUUUGCUCACCGAGCUCCUGGAGAAAAAAAACGCAGCUUACACCUUUGCGAAGAAAGAACAAAAAAGUGUUCUCUUUCCCUUCUUCCCCAUCUAGAAAUAAGUCAUUCUAAAAUUCUUGAGGUAUUUAUCCACUGGAAAAAAAAAAUCCUACGUCUCUAG
This 1127-nucleotide long non-coding RNA is filed under the name Dromaius novaehollandiae (emu). Its description in RNAcentral is "lncRNA (ENSDNVG00000016391.1)". Lineage: Eukaryota; Metazoa; Chordata; Aves; Casuariiformes; Dromaiidae. The record is from RNAcentral.